GCUCAUCCAUGAAUGCCAGGAAGGCACAAUAUUGGACCUGAACUGAGGACACUUAGCCUUCCUUCUAGAAGUCUGCAGAUAAAGUUCUGAAACCUGAGGGCACGUACAUUCCAGCAAAACCCAGAACAACAGUGCAUGCAAAAGCUGUUAAAGUGUAAGGAAGGUAAAUUUUAAACUCAGGAAAAUGUUUGCUUGUUUUUCAUAUUUUGGGUCUUACUUAUUUCUUUUGCAUGUAUAUGUGGGUGUGUCGUGACCCCUCGCCAGCAAGGAGACACAACUCAGGAAUCUUCUCUCAGCAGUUUAUUCAGGCCUUUACUCAAGCAUAUCUUCAAGCAUUCUCUCCCCACUUGUGCCUCCCACACUUAAUAAAGCACACCAAGCCCCAAUGCAAAGCCGCCAUGUGGACCUUUCUCAUAGGGUGUUAUACAACGACGCGCCAACUCUCCCUAAUAAGGAGUUGUUUGUCGCAGUCCACGGCGGAAUCCGGCGCCAUCUUGUAAUGGCGACCACGGUCCGCUGAAAUGGCUCACCACAUGUGUGUUUUGUACUUUUCCUCUCUUUUUUAUCUUACCUAUUUCUGAACCUAUUUUAUGUUUUCUCUGACUUGCUAUAAAGCAGCACAAUUGAAACAAAAAUAUUUCAUUCAAUUUUUGGAAGAAUGUUAGAAUAGAUAACAGCACCAGUGAACACAGUGGAGACUCCACAUUUUUGUGUUUUUAAGAGGAAGUAGGAAGUACACCUUUGGUUCUUGUCCUGACUCUUCCCACACGAGGGAGGAAAUGUCCCCUCCUCUGAUACAGCAGUUGUAAUUUAGUCAAACAUAUAGGAAAGGGGGUAGAUUCAUUUUUCUCUAUGACUUUAUUCCCUGGGCAGACCUGGUUGAUGUCUUAAUACUGAUUGACAUUGGGACUGGGAGGAUAGCUCAGUGGUAGAGCAUUUGCCUAGAGUGAGGGAAGCCUUGGGUUUAAUCUCCUGCAUUGCAAAACAACAAAAAACCUGAUGGACAGUUCAACAAAAAUGAUAGCUCACAUGUUCUAGACUAUGUUCCCUGCAUCCAUUAAUCAUUAUUCACAUAUUUACCUUCAUCCCCCUAAACACUUUGGUUGACAGAUAUUGUCAUUCCCAUUUCACAGAUGAGGAAAUGAAGACACAAAGAUGUAAUCACCCUGCUUAGAUAACCAGGAUGUGACAAAAACAGACGGAACCAAGGUGAUAAGAAUUUACAUCUAAAGGGAAACAAUGAAUUACCAGUAUCAAGAAAGUUCAUGAAUACACAAUCAUCUAUCUAUGAAUAUACACAAAAAUGACACCCUUGGACUUUUUCAGUACGAUGUGGCUCAUUUAAAUGGCUUUCAGAUCAACGUUCUUGAAGAUGGGAUUGUCCAUUUGACUCAAAAGAAUUAUCCCUGGAAGGAAGAGUCUUUCUACUCUUUCAAGCACCUAGUAAGCAUAGCUAAGGAAAUAGUAAAAUCCUGUACCAUGGUGUUCAGGCCCCUUACAGAAAAGUAAGGGGACAGUGCUGUGGGAUUAUGUCAAUAAAGUUCUAGGAGACACUGUUUUAUACCACAAAACUUUUAUUCUCAUUAGGCAGGGAUGAUGUGGAAGACUUGUAUCUCUAUGGCAAUAGUAAAUUCAGGACAACGUUUUCCCAGGUUUCAGGACCAGAAAAAGCUGCGUAAACAAUCUGCUUUUAUCUCAUGGUUGCUGUGGAUCAGAUAACUAUUUGUGUUUCCCUUUUUGUUUUGGCUGCUGGGAAGCUCUGGCAAAAUAUUAAUCCCAUCGCUGGAAACUACUUUCACCUCAUAUAUUCUUGUUCUCUAAAUUAUCUCUAAUUUGGUCUCACUUUCCACUCGUGCAUUCUCAUUAGCCCAGUUCAUUAUCUAUUAAUUUCAGAUUUUUUAAUGCCUUAUUUUAUAAACUCUUCAAAUGCUUUAUGGAACAAAGACUAUUUAGGCAAAUAAUUUUUUAAAGCACCAGAUUGUAAUCAUAGCGAAAAUACUGCUAAUUUACUGAACAUUGCUAUGAAUGAGGUACUGUCCUAAGAUUUCAGCUUAUCUUAUUUACCUUAAAUAUAAGUAAUUUUAUAGAUGAGAAAACUGAAGCACACAGAGGUUAAAUAAUUUAUCUAAUAUCACACAGCAAAUAAUUGAUAAAUGCAAGACUCAAACUCAGAUCAUCUGAAUUACAUAACUUAUACAAAAGAAAAAUAAUGUUUAAUUUCUUAAAUAAGUAGAAGCCUUCUGAUUUUGUAGGCCAAGCUCAGCAUUGUUCAGCCCUGAAAGAGAAACCUAUUAUCUAUCUGGUCCAUACAAUCAUGCCAGAUGAUCCAUAUCAACAGAAAGGAUGAGACAGUGAAAGUUGAAAUAAUAGACCAUCCAAAAAAUAACGGACUUUUGAUCUUGGAACACUGUUACAUUCGCUAAUUCAUUCAUUCAACAGCUUGUAGGGAAUAUUCGUCAUCUGCCAGUAGUGGCUCAGGUGCUGGAAAAAGUGGUCAUAUCAUCUUCCCUCCAGGAACCCAAGGGCUAUAAGGGAAAGUCAGGUAGGUUAAGGGCAUCAUGGGAUUAGGAUGCGAAGGCCGACAGGAGACCGGAACAAGGGAUGACAGGAUCAAUUUGAAAGCAGUUUAGCCCUCACCUCUUGGUUCCCUUUAAAACAGAAAUAAGAAUUAGGUCCCUUGUGAUGAUGUUGUACAGUAAGAAGCUCUUAGCCUAGCCCCAGGACCAUUUAGCCAUUAGCUCUUAAGGAUCAGUGGAUGGCAGCCAGGGUCCUUGCUUUGAUAUAUGCAUGCACUCACAUGGACGCCUGUCCCCAGGAACUCAAAAUUCUGGAGCUAGUGUCUGCCUUCUCUCAGCUAACCCUGGAGAUGACUCUAACUUACAGUCCACAGGCAGACCUCUCCUUUGGAUCCACCAUCCUAGAGUCACAGUCUUAUUGGAAUACCUCACCCAGGAUGCCCUGGAACAUCUUCCCCCACACUGCCUGGAUCACAUAAUGCCUGCUCAGUAUUUUUGCCCCAUUUGCUCUAUUUCACCUUAUCUGUUACUGGCACUUGAAUGCUACAGUUCAUUGCACACUGCCUGGCUGCAUAACAGAGGGGGAUUCACCCUUGAACAGUCUGAGAGCCUCCUCAAAUUGCAAAACAGGAGUUCCCAGUGCUUUAGUGGCUGAGGCCAUUGAGAAUGCUUAUGAGCUCCACCUGCUCAGCAUCCGGCAGGGCAACGACUAGUCUCUUUGGUUUUGUGCAGUAGCAAAAUUAGAAGUAAUUAAUCAUUUUCUCACCAACCUGAACUCUUAUUUGAUAGUUCCUGCUACAAGUUUGUUUUGUCAGGCCAUCAGCAAAGUCAGUCAAAUAUUACAAUUCCUUUCUAAAUAUUCUAGCAGCCAGAUGGUAGAAACACUACAGUGACAAGGCAAAACUCUCCAAAAGAUAACUUUGUGAUGCACGAGCACACUUGAUGGCACUUGGCUGAGGGAACUCACCCAGAGAUACUCUAUCAUUGCCCCACUUAACCCAGGAAACCUCUUCAUUCCAGCAUUAAGCCAAGCAUUGAACUCUGCAAUUUGAAACUGGCUGGUAAAACUAAUAUGUUUCUACUUCUCUAAAUUCCAAAUUUUAGGCAGAAGUACAAAAUUAUUAGAAUACACAGCAGGACAGAUUUUUCAGGAUUUCUCACUCAAUGUAAUGUUGCAUACCCUAAAGUUUCAAAUACUUCUGCCCUCCAGUUAAUGUAUAUUUAGAACAUGCUUGUUAGAAAACAAAUGUCCUUCCUUUUGCUCAGUUAUUUUUGUUGAUGUUUAAAACUUUAGCAUUAAUAAUCAUGUAUUCAUAAAUUUCUAAAAUGCAGGAAAAGUUGACUGUUCCUCCCUAGUAAAAAUUCCAUGUUUUCCUCUAGAGUUAAGCCCUUUUUUGGUUUCUCAGAUCUUUUCUAAGUUUCCAGUUUUUUGGUGUGUGUGUGUGUGUGUGUGUGUGUGUGUGUGUGUGUGUGUUGGAGUGACUGCAAAAUCACAACCUGUACUAUAUGAUUUCUGAACAAUAAAUCUCCAAAAAAGA
Molecule: non-coding RNA, 4054 nt
Organism: Ictidomys tridecemlineatus (thirteen-lined ground squirrel)
Lineage: Eukaryota; Metazoa; Chordata; Mammalia; Rodentia; Sciuridae
Source: RefSeq, a predicted model, not a curated record